Misgurnus anguillicaudatus (oriental weatherfish) is the source of this 1655-nucleotide non-coding RNA. Lineage: Eukaryota; Metazoa; Chordata; Actinopteri; Cypriniformes; Cobitidae. The record is from RefSeq and is a predicted model, not a curated record.
AUAUACUUAAAGUGCAACUUUAAGGUUACAUUUUUUUGUGAGAUAAAUAUAUAACCUUGUAUGAAAGUACCAUAUGAAAAUUAAAUGCGAAAGCAAAAAACAUUUACAAAACUCUAAGCGCAUAAAUUUAGUAAAAAAGCUGAAAUUUUCUAAGACCGCUCUCAAAAUCCCUGUUUUUUUCAACAACGCGUCAUAUUACGAAGUCAGAGGCGCUCGUCUGACAGGCUUUACAUUGGCAGUGCUGCGGUUGUAUUCAGCAAAAGCAGUCGCAAAUUGAUGUGAUUCUCCGUAGUUUCAAUUUAGCAUCGUCAUGGUUAAUAAUUGUGUUAGUGGAGGUUUUUCAAACUCCAGCCUGUCAGGACAAUGAGUCCACAGGUUUCUUUUGAAGAAUAAAGACCGCGCUAUCUUCCGUGUCUGGGUGUGUUUAACGCAGCACGAGGAAAGAGGCAAGAGACGCGACUUCAGUUCAGCAUGUGCUUCAGAAAAACGCGGUGGUGUAACUUAUAGCGUUCACGUUAGAUCGGAGGAUUAUCAUCCCGGCAAUAUGAUGGAGUUAAACAUUGGAUGCCGAAGCAAGAACCACGUGAGGCCUGUGUUUUUGCCGCCGCGAGAAAACAUGAAUCGAUCACGUUCCGUCUGAGAUGCAGCUUAAAGAUAACGUGAACUAUGCACAUUGUCCAGCUACAGAUGAAGAUGCUUAGUAUGAUGAAUCAUCCUCUGUUGUCAUGGACGAACCUGGCGAUGUGUUAUGGAGGAGGAAAAAACAAAAAAGACUCAUCUGAUGAGAAACCACUGCAAGAAUAUCAUCCUGUUCACACAAGUCUGUGCAGCAUGCAUGUAUCAGCAUUUUUGGUGACCAGUGACUUCUCUUCUGAGGGACGUGAAUUCCAAAUGUGUGUUUGUUGUGACGUGUGUGAACCAUGUGCAUCAUGCCUCUUGUCACAAUACGUGCCUGCUGCACACGCAUUGAAAAGGUUUAUGAUAAAAGAAGCACUCAUGUUCACAAAAUACUCGCAAGACACUAACUUGACACUAAACUGUAAUUACACAGGAGAUUAAGUGAGUAUCAGGCAAACGUGAGCAUAUCAUUUAUCAUAAACCCUUUACAUGCGUGUGCAGCAGAUUUUGACAUCACGUGUGAUGCACAUAAGUUUACAUGACACGCUGAACACAUAUUUUGAAAUGACGAGCCACACACAUGACAAGCUCAAUGCAUGUGACCAGCUUCGCAACGUGCGCCCUCGAAAAAGAAGUCACCGGCCGACACUGACCCAGAUCAUCAAGAUGUUAAAGCUGUUUGGGCUUCAGAGCAUCUUGUCAGCACCUUCUUCCACCAUGUACACAAUUUCUACCAUCGUGAAGGCGUGGCAGAAUGAAAGAUUUGCAGUCACCACAGGCUCUACGAGAAUGCAGCACUGUCCUGUCUUCCACUACACCUGCUCCCCUCUCCAGAUCCAUCCAGAGGAUCAACAAGGCUGAAGCUGUUGGGAUCUAUUAAUCACAUCAUUCACAAUUUAACACACUUCAACACAUUAUUAUAAUACCCUGCACAUAUGAUGGGAAAGAUACUGAAAAAUUGUUAAAUGUUUUUAAAUGGGUCAGAUUGUAUAUCUUUUUUUCGGUGCUACAUAAAUAAAACUAAAUCGAAUUACAAA